GGAUCAAUAUUUCGGUCAUGCCGUUGGUAUGCACUGUUAUCAUUGAUUUCUCACCUUCUAAAGAACCGUAAUGCCAUUAAUUUGGUGUUACGGGGAAUUAGGACUGUUACCUUGAAAAAAUUAGAGUGUUUAAAGCAGGCUCACGCUUGAAUACAUUAGCAUGGAAUAAUGAAAUAGGACAUCCGAUUCUAUUUUGUUGGUUUCUAGGAUCGAUGUAAUGAUUAAUAGGGAUAGUUGGG
RNAcentral lists this ribosomal RNA (239 nucleotides) under Funneliformis mosseae. RNAcentral's name for it is "partial small subunit ribosomal RNA". It matches the Rfam family "Eukaryotic small subunit ribosomal RNA", at positions 667 to 886 of the family's 1831-position model. RNAcentral also lists the same sequence under 1 other name. The record is from RNAcentral. Lineage: Eukaryota; Fungi; Glomeromycota; Glomeromycetes; Glomerales; Glomeraceae.